RNAcentral lists this ribosomal RNA (232 nucleotides) under uncultured bacterium. RNAcentral's name for it is "partial 16S ribosomal RNA". It matches the Rfam family "Bacterial small subunit ribosomal RNA", at positions 524 to 757 of the family's 1533-position model. The record is from RNAcentral.
UACGUAGGGUGCAAGCGUUAAUCGGAAUACUGGGCGUAAAGCGUGCGCAGGCGGUCCGUUAAGACAGAUGUGAAAUCCCCGGGCUUAACCUGGGAACUGCAUUUGUGACUGGCGGACUCGAGUAUGGCAGAGGGGGUAGAAUUCCACGUGUAGCAGUGAAAUGCGUAGAGAUGUGGAGGAAUACCGAUGGCGAAGGCAGCCCCCUGGGCCAAUACUGACGCUCAUGCACGAA